ACGCUGGCGGCAGGCCUAACACAUGCAAGUCGAGCGGCAGCGACAUAAACAAUCCUUCGGGUGCGCUUAUGGGCGGCGAGCGGCGGACGGGUGAGUAAUGCCUGGGAAUMUGCCCURAUGUGGGGGAUAACCAUUGGAAACGAUGGCUAAUACCGCAUAAUCUCCUUUCUUUAGGUAGAGGGGASCWAAGCGGGGGAUCUUCGGRCCUCGCCCGCUAGGAUKWGCCCAGGUGAGAUUAGCUARUUGGUGAGGUAAGAGCUCACCAAGGCGACSAUCUCUARCUGGUCUGAGAGGAUGAUCWGCCACACUGGAACUGAKACACGGUCCAGACUCCUACGGGAGGCAGCAGUGGGGAAUAUUGCACAAUGGGGGAAACCCUGAUGCAGCCAUGCCGCGUGUGUGAAGAAGGCCUUCGGGUUGUAAAGCACUUUCAGUCGUGAGGAAGGCAUAUGCGUUAAUAGCGUAUGUGUUUGACGUUAGCGACAGAAGAAGCACCGGCUAACUCCGUGCCAGCAGCCGCGGUAAUACGGAGGGUGCGAGCGUUAAUCGGAAUUACUGGGCGUAAAGCGCAUGCAGGCGGCUUGUUAAGCCAGAUGUGAAAGCCCGGGGCUCAACCUCGGAAUAGCAUUUGGAACUGGCAGGCUAGAGUCUUGUAGAGGGGGKAGAUUC
RNAcentral lists this ribosomal RNA (669 nucleotides) under Vibrionaceae bacterium FE1-01. RNAcentral describes it as "bacterial SSU rRNA". It matches the Rfam family "Bacterial small subunit ribosomal RNA", at positions 33 to 667 of the family's 1533-position model. The record is from RNAcentral. Lineage: Bacteria; Pseudomonadati; Pseudomonadota; Gammaproteobacteria; Vibrionales; Vibrionaceae.